UUAGUUUUUUUCUUGGUCCGGAAGAAAGCUGGCGGCCUGCCUUACCCCAUCAAAUUGAAAGGAGAAGCGAAGUUUUCGUGGAAGGUUUUAAUGGGGGGCGGGUGAGUAAAGGGUGGAUUACCCGCCUUAGAAUGGGGGAUAACAGCCCGAAAAGGGUGGUUAAACCGCAAAAAGUUGUUUGGGGACAUCCCCGGACAACCAAAGGAACCAUCCGCUUUUUGAUGGGUUCGGGUCCGAUUAGGUAGUUGGUGAGGGAAAAGCUCACCCAGGGGACGAUCGGUUGCCGGCCUUAGAGGGUGAACGGCCCCACUGGGGAUUAGACCCGGCCCCGAAUCCUACGGGAGGCAACCAUGGGGGAUUUUUCGCAAAGGGGGAAAGCCCGACGGAGCAAUGCCGGGUUGGGGAUUAAGGUUUUUGGAUUGUUAACCCUUUUUUUCGGGAAAAAAUUGACGGACCGAGAGGAAGCACGGCAAUA
Molecule: ribosomal RNA, 475 nt
Filed under: Heliobacillus sp. JHB50
Lineage: Bacteria; Bacillati; Bacillota; Clostridia; Eubacteriales; Heliobacteriaceae
Description: partial 16S ribosomal RNA
Rfam family: Bacterial small subunit ribosomal RNA
Source: RNAcentral